CGCUACAUCCGGGCACUGGGGCAGGAUGAAUGCUCCUUUCCAAGAUGGCGGCGGAGGGAGGAGGGAAGGAGAUGAACGAGAUUAAGACCCAGUUCACCACCCGGGAGGGGCUGUACAAGCUGCUGAGCCACUCGGAGUACAGCCGGCCUAACCGGGUGCCCUUCAACUCGCAGGGUUCCAACCCGGUCCGCGUUUCCUUCGUCAACGUCAACGACCAGAGCGGCAACGGGGACCGGCUCUGCUUCAAUGUGGGCCGGGAGCUUUACUUCUACAUCUACAAGGGGGUCCGCAAGGCUGCGGACUUGAGUAAACCAAUAGACAAAAGGAUAUACAAAGGAACACAGCCUACAUGCCAUGACUUCAAUCACUUAACAGCCACAGCAGAAAGUGUGUCUCUUCUAGUGGGCUUCUCUGCAGGCCAGGUCCAACUUAUAGAUCCUAUUAAAAAAGAAACUAGCAAACUAUUUAAUGAGGAAAGACUAAUAGACAAGUCCAGAGUAACCUGUGUAAAAUGGGUACCAGGUUCGGAAAGCCUUUUCCUAGUAGCUCAUUCCAGUGGCAAUAUGUACUUGUAUAACGUGGAGCACACUUGUGGUACCACAGCCCCGCACUACCAGCUACUUAAACAAGGAGAAAGUUUUGCAGUUCACACUUGCAAGAGUAAAUCCACAAGAAACCCUCUGCUUAAAUGGACAGUAGGUGAGGGUGCCCUGAAUGAAUUUGCCUUUUCCCCAGAUGGGAAGUUCUUGGCAUGUGUGAGCCAGGAUGGUUUUCUUCGUGUGUUUAACUUUGAUUCAGUGGAAUUGCAUGGUACAAUGAAAAGCUACUUUGGAGGACUGCUGUGUGUGUGUUGGAGUCCCGAUGGGAAGUACAUAGUGACAGGUGGAGAGGAUGACUUGGUAACGGUUUGGUCUUUCGUGGACUGUCGAGUAAUAGCGAGAGGCCACGGACAUAAAUCGUGGGUCAGUGUUGUUGCGUUUGAUCCAUAUACCACUAGUGUAGAAGAGAGUGACCCGAUGGAAUUUAGCGGAAGUGAUGAGGAUUUCCAAGACCUUCAUUUUGGCAGAGAUCGAGCAAAUAGUACGCAAUCUAGGCUAUCCAAAAGGAACUCUACAGACAGUCGUCCAGUAAGUGUUACGUAUAGAUUUGGUUCAGUAGGCCAGGACACACAGCUCUGUUUGUGGGAUCUUACAGAAGAUAUCCUCUUCCCCCACCAACCUCUCUCAAGAGCAAGGACACAUACAAAUGUCAUGAAUGCCACAAGUCCACCUGCUGGAAGUGGUGGAACUAACCCAGGAAGUAAUGGAAACAGUAUCACAACACCUGGAAACUCUGUACCCCCUCCUCUUCCACGGUCAAACAGCCUUCCACACUCUGCAGUCUCAAAUGCUGGCAGUAAAAGCAGUGUCAUGGAUGGUGCCAUUGCUUCUGGCGUUAGUAAAUUUGCAACCUUAUCGCUACACGAUCGGAAGGAAAGACACCAUGAAAAAGAUCACAAGAGAAAUCAUAGCAUGGGACAUAUAUCUAGCAAGAGCAGUGACAAACUGAACCUAGUUACUAAAACCAAAACGGACCCAGCUAAAACUUUGGGAACACCUCUCUGUCCCCGAAUGGAAGAUGUUCCCUUGUUAGAGCCUCUUAUCUGUAAAAAGAUAGCACAUGAAAGACUGACUGUGUUAAUUUUUCUUGAAGACUGUAUAGUCACUGCUUGUCAGGAGGGAUUUAUUUGCACAUGGGCAAGGCCUGGUAAAGUGGUAAGUUUUAAUCCUUAAUGCUGCAUCAAAGAACUAGAACUCUGAAUAGGUAGUUUUCUUGAAAUAUAAAUGAAUGUUGAAUAUAAAAUUUCUUUAUGCUUAAUGUAAAAAAAAAAAAAAAAUCCUCAGAGCCAUACUUUUGGAUACUGCAUGCCAUAUUUCUGAAUGAUUUGAAGUGUCUUGGAUACAAUUAUUAAGUAUAGUUGCCUUCCAGCAGAAGAAAUAAAUACUGUGCAUCUAAACUAUUGAUCAGUGUUCUUAUACUUAAGCAUAACCACAAUAUGGUGAAAGUUAUUUAUGUAAAAAUUGAAGUAAAACCUGUCAAUCACUAAAAUAAUUAUAAUCCUUCUAAUGUUUUCUACAAAAUACAGCACUCCCAAUGAGAGUAGCUUAUGAAAAGCUGCUGCUUGUAAGGCUAAUGAGACAUGUGAGCCUCUGAAAAAAUUAAAACCAAAGUGUUUUGUUCCUCCAUACUUUUCUGUGGUGGCCUGCCAUUAAUGUAAAACCACUUCUUGUUAAAACGUCAGCCAUUUUAUGCACAGAUUUGUGAGCCCUUUUACUGACUGUAGUUUAUGCUCUUGAAAUUGUGAAUCAGUAUUAUCGAGGAACUCUAAUUUUUGAUUGAUGUAUUUGUUAAAUUAGGGAAAAUCAUGCAAGCUUUCUCUAAGUUUCAGUGUUACGUUACUGUCAGUUUUGUUAGGCAAUUUGAUCAUCGACAAGCUCAUGCUUUUUGAUGGCACCUGUUCUAUCAGUUGAACCUUCAUUAAAAUAUAUUACUAGUUUUAACUCUUGUUGUUAAUGCACUUGAACACAGAUAAAACUUUCUUUUUCUUUUGUCCAAUGUAUAGCAAGCUAAAUUUUGAAUGAAGCUAAAUGUGGUGAUUAUUUUAUUAAAAAAGUACUUUGUGCUACAAUAGCUUUGCUUGCCAGCAACAUUUCAAAGGAAUACAGCUAUGAAAACAUUACCAGAGUUGAUCUAGCAGGAAGGACUAUUAUUUUUGUGAAAAAUUCUGAAAGGGGAUGUAAUUUAUCACCUGAAGAAACAGAAGUAAUCUGGUAAUACCUGAAUAUUGCCAAGUUGAGCAACCUUAAAUGAAAAUCUGAUGUUCAUUAGGUUUUAACCAUUUGGUUUGUAAAUCUGACUUUUGAAGUGGAGGUACUGUAUAUAUUUCUAUACCACAUUUUCAUUGCUAUAAACUUUUAAGUAAAACCCAAUAAUUUUUCUUAAAACUGUUUGUAUAAUGUAAGUUGCUUUGAGAUGUUAUCAAAUUUGUCACAACGUAGGUAUGUGUAGAGAGCUAUGUCAGCUCUGCAUCUUAAUGCAUAUUUAAAGGUUGAAUCUAAAACUAAAACGUGUAAAACUUUUUCUGGGGAGAAGGGAGGAUGGUGUUACCUGAAAGUAUUUUUGGCCUAAAAACUACAGAUCCAGCAUUAAUUUAAAAAAAAAAAAAAAAAAACCCCCCCCCCCCCCAAACACUAUUUUGAAUGUUUGUCCUAAAUGAAACUACUACAGCAGUUAUCAUUUCUGCAACUCAGUGCAAUUCACGUAUCUUAUGAAUUAACUUUACAUCUACAGCAGUGCCUCAGAUUUAUAUUAUGACCUAUAUUUUCUUUUUGUUCUACAACUCCUUUGCGUACUACUAAACACUACACUGUUAAAUUUAUCUUCAGUGGCUGAGGUGGGUUUUGUUAGGCUGGGUAUAACUUAAAUAUUUGUGUGUAUUGACUUUGAUUUGGAAUAUGACAUUUCAAAUAUUUCAGAGAUAAAGUAUGCAGUACCAAAAAAUCAGGAUUUAUGUAUUGGCCAAUAUGGAAAACUUUAAUUACAGGGUUUAUUGUCAUCCCAAACCCAGGCCAAUUCUCCAAGUGGAACUGUAGUAUAGCCAUCACACUACUG
Molecule: RNA transcript, 3651 nt
Organism: Egretta garzetta (little egret)
Lineage: Eukaryota; Metazoa; Chordata; Aves; Pelecaniformes; Ardeidae
Gene: WDR20
Gene name: WD repeat domain 20
Exons: 4
Source: RefSeq, a predicted model, not a curated record